UACGAAGGGGGCUAGCGUUGCUCGGAAUCACUGGGCGUAAAGCGCACGUAGGCGGACUCUUAAGUCAGGGGUGAAAUCCUGGAGCUCAACUCCAGAACUGCCUUUGAUACUGAGAGCCUUGAGUCCGGAAGAGGUAAGUGGAACUGCGAGUGUAGAGGUGAAAUUCGUAGAUAUUCGCAAGAACACCAGUGGCGAAGGCGGCCAACUGGACCAACACUGACGCUGAGGCGCGAAAGCGUGGGGAGCAAACAGG
RNAcentral lists this ribosomal RNA (253 nucleotides) under uncultured bacterium. RNAcentral describes it as "partial 16S ribosomal RNA". It matches the Rfam family "Bacterial small subunit ribosomal RNA", at positions 524 to 776 of the family's 1533-position model. The record is from RNAcentral.